GUCUUUUUGAUAAUAAUUUAAAGUCUAAUCUGCCCACUGAAUAAAUUUAAAGGGCUGCAGUAUAUUGACUGUACAAAGGUAGCAUAAUCAAUAGUCUUUUAAUUGAAGACUUGUAUGAAUGAUUUGAUGAAAUAUAGACUGUCUCUUUAUUAUAAAUUGAAAUUAAUUUUUUAGUUAAAAAGCUAAAAUAAAUAUAAAAGACGAGAAGACCCUAUAGAGUUUUAUAAUUACUAUUAAUUUUAAUUUUUUAUAAAAUUUUAAAUUAAAAUAAAUUUAAUUAUUUUGUUGGGGUGAUAAAAAAAUUAGAAAAACUUUUUUUAUAGAGUUUACAUUGAUUUAUGAAUAUAUGAUCCAUAAUUUAUGAUUAUAAGAAUAAAUUACCUUAGGGAUAACAGCGUAAUUUUUUUUUUUAGUUCAAAUAAAAAUUAAAGUUUGCGACCUCGAUGUUGGAUUAAGAUAAAAUUUAAAUGCAAAAGUUUAAAAUUUUGAUCUGUUCGAUCAUUAAAAUCUUACA
This 514-nucleotide ribosomal RNA is filed under the name Teracolus subfasciatus. RNAcentral's name for it is "partial 16S ribosomal RNA". The stretch from base 388 to 514 matches the Rfam family "Bacterial large subunit ribosomal RNA", at positions 2473 to 2600 of the family's 2925-position model. Lineage: Eukaryota; Metazoa; Arthropoda; Insecta; Lepidoptera; Pieridae. The record is from RNAcentral.